CAGGUGUAUGUCAAAAUGCUACAUUUUUAGGAAUACUGUGAGUGCACAGUCUCCUAUGGUCACAGAAGUUUGUUUCUGUUCCCUUACAUCUUGUCUGAAUACUACUGUGUGAGCUCCUUGAAAGGAAGGGAUAUUAUUUUAAAGGAGGGUUUUUUGCAGAAUUCUGAUGUCCUCCCCUACCAAGUUCCAAAGUCUGACACUCUUGGAAGAAAGCUUAGACAACUCUUCCGAGCUUGCUGGCAGAUGCUGGGAGUUUCAGAGUAUGGAGGGAAGAAUAGCCUGAGGAAAGUAAUCUUUGCAGAAAGAAGGUCAUUUUCUAAGACUAUUUCACCAAAGGAUGCCUGA
RNAcentral lists this long non-coding RNA (345 nucleotides) under Dromaius novaehollandiae (emu). RNAcentral describes it as "lncRNA (ENSDNVG00000003755.1)". The record is from RNAcentral. Lineage: Eukaryota; Metazoa; Chordata; Aves; Casuariiformes; Dromaiidae.